Molecule: ribosomal RNA, 100 nt
Filed under: Notechis scutatus (mainland tiger snake)
Lineage: Eukaryota; Metazoa; Chordata; Lepidosauria; Squamata; Elapidae
Source: RNAcentral
AAUAUCUGGCAAACCUUUUUUGAACUUCAGAACUAAGCAGGGUUGGUCUUGGUUAGAAAUUGGAUGGGAGAUCUCCAGAGAGUCCUAAGGCUAUACAUUA